RNAcentral lists this ribosomal RNA (301 nucleotides) under uncultured bacterium. RNAcentral describes it as "partial 16S ribosomal RNA". It matches the Rfam family "Bacterial small subunit ribosomal RNA", at positions 509 to 807 of the family's 1533-position model. The record is from RNAcentral.
CAGUAGCCGCGGGAACACGUAGGUGGCAAGCGUUGUCCGGAAUUAUUGGGCGUAAAGGGCUCGCAGGCGGUUUCUUAAGUCUGAUGUGAAAGCCCCCGGCUCAACCGGGGAGGGUCAUUGGAAACUGGGAAACUUGAGUGCAGAAGAGGAGAGUGGAAUUCCACGUGUAGCGGUGAAAUGCGUAGAGAUGUGGAGGAACACCAGUGGCGAAGGCGACUCUCUGGUCUGUAACUGACGCUGAGGAGCGAAAGCGUGGGGAGCGAACAGGAUUAGAUACCCCCGUAGUCCCUGUCUCUUAUAC